GGUCCCAUAGCUCAGUUGGUUAGAGCGUCGUACUAAUAUUAGCAAGAAAUUGGUAACAUUAGUAAAUGCGAAGGCCGUGAGUUCAAGCCUCACUGGGACCA
Non-coding RNA from Xylaria sp. CBS 124048, 101 nucleotides. NCBI's taxonomy places the organism in Eukaryota, Fungi, Ascomycota, Sordariomycetes, Xylariales, Xylariaceae. The record is from the annotation of a GenBank genome assembly.